CCUACGGGAGGCAGCAGUGAGGAAUAUUGGUCAAUGGCCGGAAGGCUGAACCAGCCAUGCCGCGUGAAGGUCAGUGCCCUAUGGGCGUUAAACUUCUUUUGUGCGGGAGCAAUAAUGGUCACGUGUGGCCAGACGAGAGUACCGUACGAAUAAGCAUCGGCUAACUCCGUGCCCGCAGCCGCGGUAAUACGGGGGAUGCAAGGGUUAUCCGGAGUUAUUGGGUUUAAAGGGUGCGUAAGCUGUGAGGUAAGUCAGCGGUGAAAUGCCCCUGCUCAACGGGGUGAAGUGCCAUUGAUACUGCCUUGCUGGAAUGCGGAUGCCGUGGGAGGAAUGUGUGGUGUAGCGGUGAAAUGCAUAGAUAUCGCACAGAACACCGAUUGCGAAGGCAUCUCACGAAUCCGCGAUUGACGCUGAUGCACGAAAGCGUGGGUAUCAAACAGGAUUAGAUACCCCAGUAGUC
This 460-nucleotide ribosomal RNA is filed under the name uncultured bacterium. RNAcentral describes it as "partial 16S ribosomal RNA". It matches the Rfam family "Bacterial small subunit ribosomal RNA", at positions 338 to 795 of the family's 1533-position model. The record is from RNAcentral.